AGCAGUCGCCGCGGUAAUACGUAAGUCCCGAGCGUUGUCCGGAUUUAUUGGGCGUAAAGCGAGCGCAGGCGGUUAGAUAAGUCUGAAGUUAAAGGCUGUGGCUUAACCAUAGUACGCUUUGGAAACUGUUUAACUUGAGUGCAAGAGGGGAGAGUGGGAUUCCAUGUGUAGCGGUGAAAUGCGUAGAUAUAUGGAGGAACACCGGUGGCGAAAGCGGCUCUCUGGCUUGUAACUGACGCUGAGGCUCGAAAGCGUGGGGAGCAAACAGGAUUAGAUACCCGGGUAGUCCCUGUCUCUUAUACA
This 303-nucleotide ribosomal RNA is filed under the name uncultured bacterium. RNAcentral's name for it is "partial 16S ribosomal RNA". It matches the Rfam family "Bacterial small subunit ribosomal RNA", at positions 507 to 808 of the family's 1533-position model. The record is from RNAcentral.